RNAcentral lists this ribosomal RNA (406 nucleotides) under uncultured bacterium. Its description in RNAcentral is "partial 16S ribosomal RNA". It matches the Rfam family "Bacterial small subunit ribosomal RNA", at positions 29 to 526 of the family's 1533-position model. The record is from RNAcentral.
AUCGAACGCUGGCGGCAGGCUUAACACAUGCAAGUCGAACGAGUGGCGGACGGGUGAGUAACGCUUGGGAAUCUCGCUUAUGGAGGGGGAUAACUACGGGAAACUGUAGCUAAUACCGCGUACCAUAGGAUGAGCCCAAGUGGGAUUAGGUAGUUGGUGGGGUAAAGGCUCACCAAGCCGACGACCGCUAGCUGGUCGGAGAGGCUGACGAGCCACACGGGGACGGAGACACGGCCCAGACUCCUACGGGAGGCAGCAGUGGGGAAUAUUGCGCAAUGGGGGCAACCCGGACGCAGCCAUGCCGCGUGAAUGAAGAAGGCCUUCAGGUUGUAAAGUACUUUCAGCGGGGAGGCGUUACCCGCAGAAGAAGCACCGGCUAACUCCGUGCCAGCAGCCGCGGUAAUAC